Molecule: long non-coding RNA, 1660 nt
Organism: Peromyscus californicus insignis
Lineage: Eukaryota; Metazoa; Chordata; Mammalia; Rodentia; Cricetidae
Exons: 3
Source: RefSeq, a predicted model, not a curated record
GCUGCUUGCUUCCUCCAGAAUUUUUUACAUGAGUCUUCAUACUGAAACCCUGGAUCCUAACACAUUCAUUUCUCAUUAAGCCAACUAAAAUGUGUUUCAGAAUUACCUCAUCCCAGCAUCCACAACAAACACAAAACCCACUGAAGCCCAUGUGUUUGCAGCCCUCCCUGCCCAGCACACACACGACCAACUUUGAUAAAUGCAACCUAUCUUAAAAUGUCCCCAUAACCAUACCUAGUGGCAUGAAGCAUUUAAAAAGUCACACCAAAGAAUUCCUUGCAGAUUAGAGUGUCUGCUGUGCUCUGUAGAGCAGCUUUGCCAUUUCCUUCUAAAUGUUCCCCUCCUUACAAAAUGAGUUGCUUCUCUUCCCACGCCAACAGUGUCAUAUUAACGAUGUAGUGGCAGAAAGGAGAACAGGAGACUCUCGGAGCUUCAAACAACUCACCAUGUGGUGAAGAAUGAGAGUGGUCAUUUGAUUGAACUGGAAGCACAUCAGACACGCAGACCACCCAACCCGUCUUCAGCAAUUAUACUUCUGCAAAAAGAGCCAGUGUGUCUGAUGCGUGAGGGAGACGAAGAUGAAAAGAACGCAGACUGAGCUUCUGAAAAACUACAGUUAGCAGAAGAAAGAAAAGGAAAAAUUAUUUCAAACUCACGGGCAAAAUUCAAGAGCUGUGGUAGGUAAAAUUCUACUCCAAGUUUUGAUUGAACACCUUAAAAAUGAAACGAAAGAAGAACUGCAAAUGGAAAUACAAAGAGCUGUUUGCGGACAAAUUUGAUAUAAAGUUAAAGUGAAUGGGAAGGAUUCCCUAUGCUGGGUACCACAAAGCUUUUGAGUUUCCCUUGGAUAUUUGAAUCAAGUACGGAAGCUCUGAAGGAAGGAGAAAUCAAUUUGUCAUGCUUCGUACCAAACACAUGAGUUUUAUUUUCUCCACAUGGAAAGAUUGUAUCUGUAUUAGCUAUGAGGAUGGCCAAGGAAUUGCGCAACACUUAAAAUCAUAAAGACAGAGAAAGAAAACUUCCAUGAAAUACAAGCUAAAAACAGACAAACAAACAAAAAAACACCCACAACUUAUACAUAUGAGAUGAACCCCUAGGGUUAUUAAUGGAGCCCUAAACUCUCAUACCCCAAGGCCCUUAUAGGCAUUUCUGGGCAGCACUCAAUAAAAUCAUUGAGACGCCAGACAUCCUAUGCCUAAAGGUGUAUGAUUAAUUUCUAUUCACUAAAAACAUUGGAAUAUUUUACUGAAAUUGUUUAAUUUUCUAAAAAUGAUAGGUGAACGCAAAAGAAGUCAUCAAGUUAAAUAAUGACACAUAUAUAAAAUCCACCAUUCUCAAUAAGCACAGUUAAAUGACAUACCUUCUUAUUUAGCUUAUUUUGACAUCCCUCUCUGUCUGAUGAUUUUGGUGUUUGGUGUAAGGACAUGCAUCCUAGAUUUCCUGGUUUGUAUUUUGCUCACCUUUCAUUUAUCUGCUUAUUAUUUAUUUUAUCAAUUACAUAUAAUUUCUAACUUUACAAAUGAACUCUAAAACUCUUCCUUCCUUGAAAAUAUAUUCUGGGCCCCAUAUCUAAAAAUGUCAAAGGUAUAUGAUUUGGGGGAGGAAGAAAUGUAACAGCUGUCUUAGCAGUUUCUUACUUGUCAAAUAAGAUUAAACAGAA